UGUCCUACGGGGGGCAGCAGUGGGGAAUAUUGCACAAUGGGGGGAACCCUGAUGCAGCGACGCCGCGUGAGUGAAGAAGUAUUUCGGUAUGUAAAGCUCUAUCAGCAGGGAAGAAGAUGACGGUACCUGACUAAGAAGCCCCGGCUAACUACGUGCCAGCAGCCGCGGUAAUACGUAGGUGGCAAGCGUUGUCCGGAAUUACUGGGUGUAAAGGGAGCGCAGGCGGGAAGCCAAGUCAGCUGUGAAAACU
This 250-nucleotide ribosomal RNA is filed under the name uncultured bacterium. RNAcentral describes it as "partial 16S ribosomal RNA". It matches the Rfam family "Bacterial small subunit ribosomal RNA", at positions 335 to 602 of the family's 1533-position model. The record is from RNAcentral.